CGCAUGGGGUGCCGUCAUGGGUAUCGAGAAAAACAAUUACCGCAAGUGCCAAAAUAAGACAGACAUUCAUGAACGCAAGAAUGAACCAGCAAGUGAACUGGGACCUUGGGAGCAGAUGUUCACAAUACUACCUCUCUGUUACUACUCUGCCAUCAUCCCUCAGAUGUAUUUUGCACCUCUCAAGAUGCAAUAAAAGCUGAAAAGAACAAACUUACCUUUCGACAAUCAGCUGAGCUAGAACUGGUUCCUCGUAGGCCUCGGAUGUGGGCAUCGGGGCAGGAGCCUCCUCCUGGGGAACAGGCUCGUCAUCACUGUACUUGAAGGAUGGGGGAGCACGGUC
This is a long non-coding RNA of Bufo gargarizans (Asiatic toad), 340 nucleotides long. RefSeq lists it as uncharacterized. The record is from RefSeq and is a predicted model, not a curated record. The transcript is spliced from 3 exons. NCBI's taxonomy places the organism in Eukaryota, Metazoa, Chordata, Amphibia, Anura, Bufonidae.